GUCCACCUGCAUUGACAUUCUUGCCAUCCAACAAAGCCGACAAUGUCAGUUUGAUACCUGCGUAAAAGAACAAAGAGGGAGAUGGUAAAUCCUGGAAAAGAGAUACCACAUAAAAUAUGCUCCCAGCUACAUCUCCUUUGAACAAUCUAAGAAAACAGGAUUUAUACAAGAGUCGAUAGCUGCUCCUACUACUUGUUUGCCAGGACAGAUUUUGCCAUUUAUAUUCAUAUUAGGUAGCACCUUCCUACACAUGUCCUAGUGAUUUCAGUGGUGCUACUUACACAACGCCAGAUUGGAAUAUCUACUGCUGGUACUACUGAGGAGUACCUUGCUCCACAAGUAACCCUAAUGACUUCAGUGACACCAUGCUCAGAGUAAGGUGAGAAUCACAAUCAAUCGGGACUGUGAGCAAUCCAGGUUUAAUUCAGAACAUGCCCAACAUGGGCUAACCUCUAUAGUCAGUUGCACCAAAAUCCCUCUAACUCCAAGGAUCUGAUUCCAAGCACAGAGUAAGCUUGUCAACAGAGGCCUACUGUAUUACAGGAGAAAAACAAAUCCAUCACAUCAUACAAGACUACAGCAUGCUUAACCGGAAUAAAGGGCCAGGGACUAAGGACAUACCGAGCGCGUGCCCUCGUCUUUCACCUGAGUUCACCUCCUGGAAUUCCAGAGACUAGGUCACAAGUGAAACUGAAUGCGCUGGUCUUAUCCCUGCCCUGAUGUGUGUAUAGAUCAUAAAACUACCACAUGACUCGAUCCCUGCUCAUAGGAGGCCAAGACUUAAAUAGUAGGAAAUAUUGGGAGUCACUGAGGCACUGACAGAGCUACAUGGGGAAACUCCAAACAGACUGCUUGACUCACAGUAGAGCUACUAACGUAAGCACUAAAUUCAGAACUGUAAAGAGAAAAAAUGGGAACCUUCCUUUAGAGUGUGCAGCAGCUUCUACUUAUUGUAGACAACAGGGGCCAAAUUCAGCCCUAGUUAAGAAAAUUCUCCUGAACUCAACAGAGUUCCACCUGGGCUAAAUCUAGCUCUAAAUAUUUCCAAAUAUUGUGAGGUUGGCAAGUUUCCACUGUAGAACACAAUUUUGGGGUCCUGUGUCAGCAGUUACCCAACAACAUGCAAACAACCAUUUAUUUACCUGAGUGUCAUACAAAGUGUCUUUUUUUUAACCCAGUAAUUUUAAAUACAUCUGUUUGCUAGCAGCCUCCCUUCCCAGAGCGAGGCUGAAGCGAUAUAAUUAAUAAUGAAGAUGAUGAUACUACCUAGCUAUUACAUUGAGAUCUUCUGGUGAAGAGAACUAAGUGCUUUACAAAGGAGAUCAGUAUCAUUACCCCCAUUUUCACACAGAUGGGGAAACUGAGGCACGGAGAGGCAAAGUGAUUUACCAAAGAACACUCAGCAGGACAGUGGCAGUUCUGGGAACAGAACCCAGAUCUCCUGAUCCCAGUCCAGCGCUCUAUCCAUCCGUCAACACGCCUCUCCUAGGAUACUGGAACUUUCCCUGCAUAGACUAUUGGCUUUUCCUCUAGUUUUAAUAAUAUUUCUAUGGUGGAAAAUAUACCACAAAUUUAAAAUAAGAAGGAUAAAACCCAGGCAGGACCAAAGUUAGUGGGAGUCUAUGAGUAAGGACGUCUUGAUUUAGACUUCAGUUCAAGCUAAUUUUCACUUAUAAACAAACUUGAACAUAUGCAACAAUUCUUGAAAAUGGUGAUCCCUAUUGAAUUUGAAAGGAUUUCAGUUUACCUCUUCCACAGCGGGGUUCCUUUAGAGCAUCUUAAAGGCAGACUUUGUGCCAUGAUAUAAGCCAACGAUAUGUUCCACUGAACUAUUUGUGCAAACCACAGUGACAUACUAUCACAAAUUAUGAGACAAACGACCAUCUCCCCGCGUAAGAGGGAAGGCAAAUCAAGGACUUAUCUCUUACAGUCCACAAACCUAAGAAAUUUGAUUCAUUUUUAAAAUAGUUGCUAGACAGUUACAACUUGAGACAAUGCUCUGGAUUCUUUGGCCAGGAGAUUUAAUUUACAAAUUAAAAAUAAUUUAAAAAACCCAGGAGAGAUGGUGGAUUUGUAUUACAGAAUUACAAAACCCAUGGUCCUAAAAAUAACAAA
Mauremys reevesii (Reeves's turtle) is the source of this 2115-nucleotide long non-coding RNA. RefSeq lists it as uncharacterized. The record is from RefSeq and is a predicted model, not a curated record. NCBI's taxonomy places the organism in Eukaryota, Metazoa, Chordata, Testudines, Geoemydidae. The transcript is spliced from 4 exons.